Molecule: RNA transcript, 1732 nt
Organism: Capra hircus (goat)
Lineage: Eukaryota; Metazoa; Chordata; Mammalia; Artiodactyla; Bovidae
Gene: EFCAB9
Gene name: EF-hand calcium binding domain 9
Exons: 2
Source: RefSeq, a predicted model, not a curated record
GCCGAACGUGGGUCUCUUGCCAUCUCCUGCAGUGGCAGGUGGGUUCUUUAGGGCUUUAACACUUCAGGGCUUUUUUGUUUGCUCAUUUGUCUUUUGGUUUUUGUCUCUUUUAGGACUGGGUAUAAAUAAGGUAGGGCUUCCCAGGUGGCGCCAGUGGUAAGAAACCUGCCUGCUGAUGCAGGAGCUGCAAGAGAGGUGGAUUUAAAGCCCUCUGUAAUCAAUGGGCAAGAAGGAAUCACAUGUAGACAGUUACACUUGAGAAUCUCUGAAAUCUUAUGGGUGAUCUGUACAUACAACUUGUACAGCCACAUACCACUGUGUAAACAUAUCCCCAUGUUUGUUUCUCCCAAAUAACACUCCCUGACAGAUGAUGAGUGGAAUUUCAGGCAAAAACCUUCCCUGUCCUUUACAGUUUUUUCUUUUUUCCCUCCGAUUGUAUAUGACUGCAGAUGCAUUAACUAAUGUGCAAAAGAUACAGCUUCACUGUAGAAAGAGCAAGGCUGUGGAGUCAGAUGGACCACAUAUGAAGCCCAGCUCUGCCACUCCGAGUGUGGUCCUCAGAGCAGCAGCGGCCACAUCACUCGGGAGCUUGUUAAGAUGCAGACUCAGUAGUCCCGAGCCAGUUUCUAAUCACAACCGCUGUGUUUACAAGAUCCCCAAGUGAUUGGUACGCCCAUUACAGCUCGAGAAGCCCCACGCCUAGUUAUCACCCAAAGCUUACUGUGCAAGGCCGUGUAGCUGCCCGGGUUCCGUGACAGGCAACACUUAAAGCGCCCAGCACCUAAGGUGGCUGAUGAUAGUUCCCUUCCCCACAGUCAAGAGCAUUUACGUUACAUAAGCAUGAGGCACAGUGAUGCUUUUAUAGAAGAGGAAUGAUUUUUAAAUUUCUCGUUUUAAUUCUCUCAAGUGAAAGACCCAGGUGAAACGUCAGCUUUUCCAAGAGCGUGUCGUAGGUCCCCAGUGAGAACUAAGCUCUCCUAUGUGCGAGGAGCGCUGUGAGCCUUUUAUUGAUAUGUCUGCACAUCGGUCUGUUCCAUCCAAGCCCUGUCCACUCUCCCCUUCUUCACAAGUCCGGGCGCAGUGGAGCGUGUAGUGGCAAAGCCAGAAACCAAGUAUCAUCAUUGCUACUGCCGCGUCAACAAGCUUCCAACAGGACCCAACUGUGGCUCCCAGAUGUCGAACAUUCUGGAACUGUUUCAGAAUAACCCGUCUCAUCUCCCUGUCGACAGAUGUGCUGUUUUACCACUUCCUCCAUCACGUGACUGACUUGACACGGAACCAGAUCACCGUUGUGUUCAACAUGCUGGACUGGAACGCAGUGGGCGAGAUUGGCUUCGACCAGUUCUACAUGCUGGUGUGUAUACUGCUGGCGCAAGAGCCUUCCAGGGAAUUCUGAUGUACGCUGAAGUGUCAGAACCACAGUGCUAGAAUAUCUCUAAAGACACCCAGAAAACUGGGGCCAGCUGUCACCUCUGGAGAGAAGUGCAAGAUGAAGAGCAGAAGCCAGAGAGACUUUUCCAUGUUCGGAUUUUUCCCCACGUGUACGUGUUGCCUGCUUUAAAUAAAAACUCAACAAUCAAAACCUGCCACUUCGAUCCAAAAUGGAAAAUCCUUCUGAAAAACUGAAUGAUGGGUUUUGGUUUACAGCAUGAUUCUUCAAAGGAAAAAACAACCUGCUGAGACCAAGGCUUCAAUGCAGCACAUAGGUAUAUCUAUAAAUGACCAUGUAUGG